UCCGGCUUAUCACCGGCAGUCCCACUAGAGUGCCCAACUGAAUGAUGGCAACUAAUGGCGAGGGUUGCGCUCGUUGCGGGACUUAACCCAACAUCUCACGACACGAGCUGACGACAGCCAUGCAGCACCUGUGUUCCGGCUCAUUGCUGGGAGGAAUCCAUUUCUGGAAACCGACCGGACAUGUCAAGGGUUGGUAAGGCUCUUCGCGUUGCGUCGAAUUAAACCACAUGCUCCACCGCUUGUGCGAGCCCCCGUCAAUUCCUUUGAGUUUUAACCUUGCGGCCGUACUCCCCAGGCGGGACACUUAACGCGUUAGCUGCAGCAGAGAAAGGCAAGCCCUCCUCCACUCAGUGUCCAUCGUUUACGGCUAGGACUAC
This 377-nucleotide unclassified non-coding RNA is filed under the name uncultured Alphaproteobacteria bacterium. Its description in RNAcentral is "contains 16S-23S intergenic spacer region". Lineage: Bacteria; Pseudomonadati; Pseudomonadota; Alphaproteobacteria. The record is from RNAcentral.